RNAcentral lists this ribosomal RNA (119 nucleotides) under Lepisosteus oculatus (spotted gar). The record is from RNAcentral. Lineage: Eukaryota; Metazoa; Chordata; Actinopteri; Semionotiformes; Lepisosteidae.
GCCAGCUGCCAUAUCACCCUGCAACUCACAACUGGCAGCCCACUGAAACUCAGUAGGUGUGAGCCUGGUCAGUACCUGGAUGGGAGACCUCCUGGGAAAAACUAAGGUUGCUGCUGGAA